Molecule: long non-coding RNA, 4112 nt
Organism: Drosophila miranda
Lineage: Eukaryota; Metazoa; Arthropoda; Insecta; Diptera; Drosophilidae
Exons: 2
Source: RefSeq, a predicted model, not a curated record
UUUCGGGAAUCGACUGUUGUGCUGAAGACUGUUGGCCUACGGUUAUAUACGCAAAUACACUCUGCGCAGGUGCAGCCGGCGAAAUGAGAGCACCACACACGCACGCACACUCUUUCUCCCCCACUCUCUCUCUCUCUCUCUAUCUGUCUCUCUCAGUCUGUUUCUCUGCGUGAAAACGAGAGUAAAAGACCUUGAAUUCUGAUAACGGUUAUGUGUGUAAACAAUGACGAGGCGAAGAGAGCUUUUGCUUCCCAAAGCUCCAGCUUUAGCGACAGCUGCGCUCUCUGGCGCGCUCUCGCAGCCGCUCUUAUGGCUUGGUCUUGGACGUGACUUCGUCUAUAGCCUGCUCCGAGUGGAGUGUUGUAAUCGCUACAAAAAGCUUAUGGCAAUAAAUGUUAUAAAUCUUAAUGCCGAAAAAAUUAAAAAAUAAAGGCAAGCCCCAGCGGCAGCCGCAUUUAAGCAAUGCAAAUUAAUAGCACGCAAUGGGAAAUCAAAGAAACCAAAUAAACGAAAUAAUGUGGCAGACCUCCCCUUCCCGCGACGCCCUUUUUGACCAUCUUCCUGGGGACCGAUUGCCGGAUGGCCGGUUUGGAUUUUGAUUUUUGGGAAUUCUUAUUGUUCAAUAGCCAAAGCCGAAGGUCGUCACGUUUUUGUAUACCUAUACCUAUAUACCUAUUCGGGACUGAAGAUGUUUUGAUAUGCCAGGUGGUGUCGCAUUAAUUAGAUGGUUUUAAAUGUAAUUCGUUGGCUUCGAUAGCACCCAAACUCGGUUAAGGGCAAUGCUCGGGGACGUGCCUAUGCCUAUGCCUACGGCCCAUUGCAUUUCUUCGUGUGCAGCAAUGUGGCAAGCCCCUUGGCCAACACUUGGCCACACCGCCGAAUCAAUUAAAAACAAUAGAAACACAGACUUGACUCCGAACAUUGCGGGCAUUUCUCAUAUCCCAUGUCUGUCUGUCUGCUUUCCGUUUCACUUCCUGGGACAUUGCAAUGGGAGCGGAUCCAUAUAGCCAGAGCCAGAGCCAGAGCUAAAGCCAAAGCAGCAGACAUGCGGAAUACCUCUUUAAAUGGUUCGAUUCAUUUGGCCAAAAGCAAGUUAAUUGCAUGUUGAUUUAAGUUUGAUUUUAUCCGUUUUUUAUUCCCUCUCCUCUCAUCAACUAUGGCAGGGGCUAGCCGAGGUCCACCUGUUGGCCAGAUUAUGGAGCUGUUCCAGGUGCGUGCGCGGUCUGGUUCCGUUUCACUUAGUGGGAAGUCCACGACAACCAGUGGGGGGAGUUUCAUAACGGGCAGUCUAGUACUGUCUGUACUACGACAGGGAAGGGGAUUCAUGUUAAUACACUCGGACUCCUAUGAAGCAGUAGGAAAGCUCCCCCACUUUCUCUGUGGCUCUCCCUUAAUGGCCUGCCAUCUAUUCCCAUUUCCUCUGACAGGCAGUUGUUCCACCCUCCCCCUACCCGGGCCAUAAGGAAGUGCCAAACGGGAUUCACACCAGGAGCCGAGCUCCGCUCCUCCAAUCAUAUUAAUAUUCAUCAAAUCCAGAUAAAUGAAGCUGCCCCAAUCGACAGAGUACGCUAUGCCAGUGUAUGUGUGUGUCCCGCUCCAGGAAGUGCUGUCCGAGCCGCCAAACUGGAAUGCAUUGAGUGCACGAAAUGAAAUGCGUAACCACUUGCCCAUGGCCAUGCGUUCCCCCGCUGCAGCUCUUCGGUUUGGUUUCCAUGUCCUACGCGGCUCGUGCCCCAUGCCCGCUCUAACACUCGCCUCAAUAUCGAUGUUGGACCACUUUUACUUUUCCCCACUUCGUUCGUGGCUCAGCCAUUUGCUGCAGACCUGUGUGUUUAUUUAUUUAUUUAUAUCUCUCAUGAUUAUUCAUCUUAUCGCUGGCGGUAAUCGGUCAAUGUAUGUGGAGCGUUUAGCCAGCCGCAGCUAUAAGGGAGUGCUGGUGGUGGUGAUGUGCCGCGUGUGCAAUUGGUUCCGGCAUGAAAAUUAGAGCAGCAUUUGGCAUGCACUUCCUACCUCCCUCUCCACUUGCUUUGCCCUGCUGUUGCCUGAUUUGAAUGGCCAAGAGAUUGGCAGUACGAUCGACAGAUUGUGUGGGCUGUGCUCACAUAACUCGUCAGGGGUGGGCGUGACAUGGCCCACACACUUACACACUCACAAACUCACACAUGGCAGUAAACGACACCUUCUUAGCCUGUACUGUCGUUUUCAGCCUUUUACUUCCGAUGGACAUUGCUUCCUGCUUGUCCACCAAAAAAUAAGCAAAUGCAGUCGAUGAGGCUGGACGGGCUGCGUUGACAAAACUCACGCACCAUGCCAUGUGGCAAGACUUUGUUGGUGCCGUUGCAUAUCCAUAUAAGGCUGUGGCGCGCCAGUACGGGCACUUGCCCCAGGCUUGCUACAGUUUCCGAAUUUCCCUGAAACCGCAGAUACAGGUAUUUGAAGUGGAUCGAAAUUUAUGAUUUCAUUAUACGCGCAUCACAGGCAAUUUCCCUCUGAAGGUCGUCCGCAACGGUUGUCCUCAUUCGGCGGCAAAACAAAAGACUCUGGGCACGAACCUCUCAUGCAAUUCGUGUCCAUAACAAAGCCCACAGCUGCAUGAGUUAUGUCUUUGCUAUAAAGCCACAACCAAGUGUCAUUUGCAUAGACAUUACUCUUUGGUAGACCCAAACAAAUAAUCAUCAAUCGCACCUCGUUCAUUUUAUUUGACCAGCGAAUACAAAUAAUUUAACGAUCGUAUAAAGAGUCGCAACGGCGCCUGGGGUCGCAGACUAUCUCGGAAAUGCAGCGGGGGAAAACUGGUUACCUUCCAAGUUCGCUGACCCAGAGAGCCCUUCGGUGCGACUUGGGGGGGUUAACCAGGAAACCUGUCACUCGGGGCGGGCUUUGGCUCUUCAAACGAGCUGCACUUAAGUGGGCAUAUCUGUUCGAUUAGCUGCUAAACUGUCUGCAGCAACUGUGAGCCAGUGCGAACGGGUGAUGGGAUGGCAUCAGCGGUCUUGCCUCAGUCAGUCGGUCAACUGCAGUCACGCCUGGCAAUUGACUGGGACAUGCAAACGAAGUGCAACGCGGAUUGCAUAAUUAUACAACUGUCUGCGUCUGCGUCUGCGUCUGCACCACUGCAACAGCAGCAGCCGCACCGGCUCACAACUCCACACUUUUGCCAAUCAAUUUCGUUUCCGUUUUAUUCAUUUUCCAGUUUUUCGCAUGAAACUGCACCCAAAAGUCAAAGGAAAGGUUCAUCAAGGAGUCAGUCCGCAUAUUCGCUAUGGAAGAGCCGGUUUGUUUUUCUUUUGCUGCAUAAAAAGUACAAGUUUUUUCCAACGAUAGCAACACAAACAGAUUAAUCGUAUUCUUUGCCGUUAUUUUAAUUAAAACUCAAUAAAUAUUUAAUACAUUUUAUGAAAUAACCAAUACAUAUUCGUAAAUGUGUCAGUUCAUACACAGAACAUCUCGAAAAACGAUCUUGCUGCGUUCGCUCCAAGGAUCUUCGGCUCUGGCGUUCCCCGCCGGCUCCACCUGGUGAAGGGGCCACCAGGCAGUGAGCCCCUGGGGACAUGAUUCCUGUCGCGCGAGGCUGUGGCCUGGGCGACCUAUGGGGCCGGCCACUGCCAUGGCCCUCUUCCUUGCGUUCCACGCAGCUUUCUCCACCUUUCCAGUGAAAGGGUGAUCCCGCCGUAGCUCCUCGUCCUCUCUGUAAGUCGAAGAGAUGAGUCCUGGCUAGACUAUGGCAGCCACUGACUAGCCUGCUGCGGGCCAUAGCCAUAAUGCAGCUGCUGUGUCGCUGACUCGACUAUGGGGCGUCCCGUCCGCUGCAGCAGGGACCAGGGAUCGACGCCGGAAAUUUUUGAGACACAGGACUUAUGUACCUUGCAAGAUCCGAGCCCAACAAGACAUCGUCAUCCUUCGACCUGGCCAUCGACAACAAGGACUUUGACUACGGCAACCAAAAGAGGAGCUACGCGGGCUAGACUCUAGAUAGAUCUCGUUGUUGUUAGGUUUAAGGAUAUAUGUAUAUUAGAUAGUCCAUAUAUUAAGAUAUUAGAUACAAAUGUUUUCCACUUGUUUAUUUAUUUAUCCUAGGCUAAGUUAUGAUGAAUAAAGCUAUUGAAAAAUAA